Non-coding RNA from Triticum urartu, 159 nucleotides. NCBI's taxonomy places the organism in Eukaryota, Viridiplantae, Streptophyta, Magnoliopsida, Poales, Poaceae. The record is from Rfam.
GAUAAGAUGCUUAUGACUCCCAAGAGCUCUUAUUGAUAGAGUUGUCUGGCACCUCGAUGUCGACUCAUCACAUCAUGGGUUGAAGAAGGUCCCAAGGGUCUAGUUGUUUGCCGAUGAAAGUGGCACGUGAGUUGGGUUUAGAACGUCGUAAGACGGUUU